Molecule: ribosomal RNA, 420 nt
Filed under: uncultured bacterium
Lineage: Bacteria
Description: bacterial SSU rRNA
Rfam family: Bacterial small subunit ribosomal RNA
Source: RNAcentral
AAGGAAUAUUGGUCAAUGGACGGAAGUCUGAACCAGCCAUCCCGCGUGCAGGAUGAAGGUCCUAUGGAUUGUAAACUGCUUUUAGCAGAGACGAAGACCCAUCAUUUAUGAUGGAGUGACGGUAUCUGCGGAAUAAGCACCGGCUAACUCCGUGCCAGCAGCCGCGGUAAUACGGAGGGUGCAAGCGUUAUCCGGAAUCACUGGGUUUAAAGGGUGCGUAGGCGGAGAAUUAAGUCAGUGGUGAAAUCCUGUCGCUUAACGAUAGAACUGCCAUUGAUACUGAUUUUCUUGAAUUGGGUUGAGGUUAGCGGAAUGUGACAUGUAGCGGUGAAAUGCAUAGAUAUGUCAUGGAACACCAAUUGCGAAGGCAGCUAACUGGGCCUUGAUUGACGCUGAGGCACGAAAGCGUGGGUAGCGAAC